RNAcentral lists this ribosomal RNA (308 nucleotides) under uncultured Glomus. RNAcentral describes it as "SSU rRNA". It matches the Rfam family "Eukaryotic small subunit ribosomal RNA", at positions 589 to 902 of the family's 1831-position model. The record is from RNAcentral. Lineage: Eukaryota; Fungi; Glomeromycota; Glomeromycetes; Glomerales; Glomeraceae.
CUCCGAUAGCGUAUAUUAAAGUUGUUGCAGUUAAAAAGCUCGUAGUUGAAUUUCGGGAUCAAUACGUCGGUCGUGCUUCGGUACGUACUGGCGUCAUUGAUUUCUCCCUUCUGACGAACCAUGAUGUCAUUAACUUGGUGUCAUGGGAAAUCAGGACUGUUACUUUGAAAAAAUUAGAGUGUUUAAAGCAGGCUCACGCUUGAAUACAUUAGCAUGGAAUAAUGAAAUAGGACGUUCGUUCCUAUUUUGUUGGUUUCUAGGAUUGACGUAAUGAUUAAUAGGGAUAGUUGGGGGCAUUAGUAUUCAAU